CAAAGCCGACAGGGCUCGGGUAAAAUCGCAUGCAGCUGUGCCGCGGCUUAAAUUAGCCCCGAGCAGCAGGGCGUCAGAGGAGGAGAGCAAAAUUACACCCCUCCGCUUACACUCAGAAGAACACCAAAUGAACCCCAAGCACAAGUUCCUAAGCUGACAGAAAUAGAGCACGGCUGUGUGAUGUGAUGCGAUGCGAUGCGAUACAGCAGGCUAAUGAAGCAGGUUAGGAAGCUGCGGUGAGAGUGCAGCAUCAGCCAGGAUACGGCGCCCCUGGACAGACAGGGUUAAGGGCCUUGCUCAACGG
Molecule: long non-coding RNA, 304 nt
Organism: Clarias gariepinus (North African catfish)
Lineage: Eukaryota; Metazoa; Chordata; Actinopteri; Siluriformes; Clariidae
Exons: 3
Source: RefSeq, a predicted model, not a curated record